Molecule: RNA transcript, 930 nt
Organism: Notothenia coriiceps (black rockcod)
Lineage: Eukaryota; Metazoa; Chordata; Actinopteri; Perciformes; Nototheniidae
Gene name: sodium/potassium-transporting ATPase subunit gamma-like
Exons: 10
Source: RefSeq, a predicted model, not a curated record
CUUUCUCUCUCUCUCCCCCCACUCUCACUCUAACUGUUAUUCCCGAGGCAAGACCAAGAAGGAACAUAGCUUUACUUGGUGCAAGCGAGUACUAAGCAAUCUCCACAACAUAAUUCCUUUCCAUUAGUGGCUUUUCAUUUUAUUUGCAUGCUCCAGGAUAAGGUUUUGCAUACCCAAUUGUAUUUCUCUUGGCUGAAGUAACACGUGGAAAACUUUUCAAAGCAAAGUUCGUUUUACCGGGCGGAGAGUAUUCGCAUAAGAGUUUAAAGGAGGCUAAUGCAAGUAGGUACAAUGGAUCUUGUGACAUUGGUGGUGUUUGGAUCGUGGCUGGCUCCUGCACUCGUUGCUUCCCCUUUCUUUAGCUUGUGUUUUAAAGUCCCUCCACGCUAAAUGAGCUGAUGUCUCUGUAUAACAGGAUCAGCAUUUGGCAGGGAGGUGAUCGCCUCAGCGGAAAAUGCGGACAAAGACUAUGACAGUCCUUUUGAAUACGAUUAUGAGUCGCUGAGAAUCGGGGGCCUUGUGUUUGCAGUGGUACUGUUCGUGCUGGGUAUCGUCCUCAUUGUCACCAAAAAAUGUAGCUGUUCGAGUGACAAGCCAAGACCGAAGGCUCCUGAUGAGGAAACAGCUGUUCCAAUUGCUCAGUAGACGCAGAGGCAAAGAGCAGUGGAGAUGAGUGCUACUGUCUGUCCACUAGAUGGCAGCAAAUACCUUGAUCAAAGCUGAGGACAAUCUUUCCAUGAACACAAGAAGCUUGCUUUAAUUUCAUAAUGUUACUGUGCUUGUUAUAUUUUCUUUAUAAAUGUUUUUAUUAUCAAAGACUGUUACUACAAAGUGUGCAAACUUUAAAUGGUAUCAAUAGUGUGAUUCUCAUUUGUAUUUUUUGACCUGACGAUUGAUGCAAAAAUAAUAAAACACAUUUUUGAAAAGGUU